RNAcentral lists this unclassified non-coding RNA (371 nucleotides) under Hevea brasiliensis (rubber tree). The record is from RNAcentral. Lineage: Eukaryota; Viridiplantae; Streptophyta; Magnoliopsida; Malpighiales; Euphorbiaceae.
UGGCAGGUUUGUUUUGUGUAGUUUGGUUUUUUGUAUUUCUUCACCCUCCGAAAUAUACAUGGAGGAUAUUGAAACCUUGGGUUUUGUUUUAUUGGAAUUUAUUUAGAUGUGUUUAUAAGGAAUUUCUCUCUUUCGAGGUGAAAUUGAAGUUUUAAUAAGUGGAAUAAUGUAAUAUUUAGCAGAUAUUGAGAAUUAGGAUCAGUGAAUCUUGGAGUAUAAUUUCUGCUUGGAGAGGAGGUCAAAAAGUUUAAUCUUUUGUAGUAAGAAAACUUUCUGGAGAAAAUUGAGAAUAAAUGUAGGAAUAUGUGAGGAAUAGGAGUCAGCAAUUAGAAUAAAAGAUCAUGAAAUACACUGGGUUUAUGUUAUUGCUC